GACGAACGCUGGCGGCGUGCUUAACACAUGUAAGUCGAACGGAAAGGCCCUGCUUUUGUGGGGUGCUCGAGUGGCGAACGGGUGAGUAACACGUGAGUAACCUGCCCUUGACUUUGGGAUAACUUCAGGAAACUGGGGCUAAUACCGGAUAGGAGCUCCUGCUGCAUGGUGGGGGUUGGAAAGUUUCGGCGGUUGGGGAUGGACUCGCGGCUUAUCAGCUUGUUGGUGGGGUAGUGGCUUACCAAGGCUUUGACGGGUAGCCGGCCUGAGAGGGUGACCGGCCACAUUGGGACUGAGAUACGGCCCAGACUCCUACGGGAGGCAGCAGUGGGGAAUAUUGCACAAUGGGCGGAAGCCUGAUGCAGCAACGCCGCGUGCGGGAUGACGGCCUUCGGGUUGUAAACCGCUUUCGCCUGUGACGAAGCGUGAGAGACGGUAAUGGGUAAAGAAGCACCGGCUAACUACGUG
Molecule: ribosomal RNA, 468 nt
Filed under: uncultured bacterium
Lineage: Bacteria
Description: partial 16S ribosomal RNA
Rfam family: Bacterial small subunit ribosomal RNA
Source: RNAcentral